This 672-nucleotide long non-coding RNA is filed under the name Mytilus galloprovincialis (Mediterranean mussel). Lineage: Eukaryota; Metazoa; Mollusca; Bivalvia; Mytilida; Mytilidae. The record is from RNAcentral.
UUUUUUCUGCGGAGAAACAUUACAUUCACUCUGUGGUUAAAGUUUUUAGAACUUUCUUAAACUAUCCUGGGUUUGUACCAAAUUUGGACAGAAGCUUGUUUAUGAUCAUAAGAUAGUAUCCAGAAGUAAAUUUUGUAAAUAAAUAAAUCCAUUUUUUCCAUAUUUUACUUUUAAAUGGACUUAGUUUUUCUCCAGGGAACCAUUACAUUCACUCUGUGGUUAAAGUUUUAAAAAUUUUAAUAACUUUCUUAAACUAUCCUGGGUUUGUACCAAACUUGGACAGAAGCUUAUUUAUGAUCAUAAUAUUGUAUCCAGAAGUAAAGUUUGUAAAAAGAUUACUCAGUUUUUUCUGUAAUUUACUUUUAAAUGGACUUAGAUUUUCUUGCAAUCAUAAAAUAGUACAUGUAACAAGAGGAAUAUUUUUAUUGAUUUUUUCCCUCAUUGUUGUUGAGUCUGCAAUUUACAGCAAAAAUAGGCGAGACACUGGGUUCCGCGGAACCCUUACAAAUUUUUAAGACCAGGGGUUUUCUCUUUGGACUGAAGCACACGUGUGGCUCUCUUUCUGUUGGAUAGGUUAUAUUUAUGAAGUUGCAUAUGUUAAGUAUCAUCUUUGUGUAUUGACUUUUUGUCUGAUCAUGUAGUCUUUUCAAUGGUGAGAAUCAGAAAUUCCUC